CUACGGGUGGCACCAGUGAGGAAUAUUGCACAAUGGAGGAAACUCUGAUGCAGCAACGCCGCGUGGAGGAUGACGCAUUUCGGUGUGUAAACUCCUUUUAUAUGUCAAGAAAAUGACGGUAGCAUAUGAAUAAGCUCCGGCUAACUCCGUGCCAGCAGCCGCGGUAAUACGGAGGGAGCAAGCGUUACUCGGAAUCACUGGGCGUAAAGGACGCGUAGGCGGGAUAGAAAGUCAGGUGUGAAAUCCUAUGGCUCAACCAUAGAACUGCACUUGAAACUUCUAACCGAGAGUAUGGGAGGGGAAGAUGGAAUUAGUGGUGUAGGGGUAAAAUCCGUAGAUACCACUAGGAAUACCAAAAGCGAAGGCGAUCUUCUGGAACAAUACUGACGCUAAGGCGUGAAAGCGUGGGGAGCAAACAGGAUUAGAUACCCCUGUAGUC
RNAcentral lists this ribosomal RNA (439 nucleotides) under uncultured bacterium. RNAcentral's name for it is "partial 16S ribosomal RNA". It matches the Rfam family "Bacterial small subunit ribosomal RNA", at positions 339 to 795 of the family's 1533-position model. The record is from RNAcentral.